CAGUAGCCGCGGGAAUACAGAGGGUGCGAGCGUUAAUCGGAUUUACUGGGCGUAAAGCGUGCGUAGGCGGCUUUUUAAGUCGGAUGUGAAAUCCCUGAGCUUAACUUAGGAAUUGCAUUCGAUACUGGGAAGCUAGAGUAUGGGAGAGGAUGGUAGAAUUCCAGGUGUAGCGGUGAAAUGCGUAGAGAUCUGGAGGAAUACCGAUGGCGAAGGCAGCCAUCUGGCCUAAUACUGACGCUGAGGUACGAAAGCAUGGGGAGCAAACAGGAUUAGAUACCCGAGUAGUCCCUGUCUCUUAUAU
RNAcentral lists this ribosomal RNA (301 nucleotides) under uncultured bacterium. Its description in RNAcentral is "partial 16S ribosomal RNA". It matches the Rfam family "Bacterial small subunit ribosomal RNA", at positions 509 to 809 of the family's 1533-position model. The record is from RNAcentral.